Molecule: long non-coding RNA, 706 nt
Organism: Mercenaria mercenaria
Lineage: Eukaryota; Metazoa; Mollusca; Bivalvia; Venerida; Veneridae
Exons: 2
Source: RefSeq, a predicted model, not a curated record
AAAUAGGCGGGGUAUAACGGCGUAAUAAUACGGAACCAAUAAAUAGUCCCAGGAGACGAGCCCUCUAGCAGAACUGAAAACGCACACAAGAUCUAAGCGUUAGGAUUUUACAGAGGAUAAACCGAAAGUCAAAAAAGAUGAACCCUUCUACUAUUUACACAGGCCUUGGUCUUUUAGUAUGUUUCCUAGCAACAGUGACCUUAACCUAUACCUCAGAACUUGGCGAAAUGUCGGAGGAAACAGCUGAGAAUUAUCUUCCAAACAUCCGGUACUUUUUGAACAAUAUGAAAAAUGAUGGUUUAUCGCUAGAAGCCCCACCUCACGUAUACAUGAAUAAAUUAAAGCGAUAUUUUCACGAAUCAAAACUGGCAGCGAAAAGAAAUGGAUUUUGGAUCUGGAUGCCAGCUCAAGGUUACGUUCCAGUGGAAGCAAACGACAGGACCGCAGAAUCCAAAAAUUCCGGAAGCGCUAAUGUUCUCCGAUAUGGCUAAUUACAAUGACAUACUUGCUAAUGCUUAUGCAAAUUUCGAUUCAAAUGUGCCAACAGAAUUGAACUGAUUCAUAGUUAUAACCGUAUCAUUUUUAGAAGAAAAAAGAACGCUGAACUAUGAAAGAAAAAAUAUUUUACAGUUCGGUAAAACUUUUUAUGUAAAAUAACAUUCAUUUUGUCAUUGUUGCAGGAAAAAUAAAAGUGUUAUUAACGAUA